CGCGUAGGUGGUUUGUUAAGUCAGCUGUGAAAGCCCCGGGCUCAACCUGGGAGCUGCAGUUGAUACUGGCAGGCUAGAGUACGAGAGAGGGAGGUAGAAUUCCAUGUGUAGCGGUGAAAUGCGUAGAUAUAUGGAGGAAUACCAGUGGCGAAGGCGGCCUCCUGGCUCGAUACUGACACUGAGGUGCGAAAGCGUGGGUAGCAAACAGGAUUAGAUACCCUUGUAGUCC
Molecule: ribosomal RNA, 229 nt
Filed under: uncultured bacterium
Lineage: Bacteria
Description: partial 16S ribosomal RNA
Rfam family: Bacterial small subunit ribosomal RNA
Source: RNAcentral